Molecule: ribosomal RNA, 1219 nt
Filed under: uncultured Rhizaria
Lineage: Eukaryota
Description: SSU rRNA
Rfam family: Eukaryotic small subunit ribosomal RNA
Source: RNAcentral
CGGUAAUUCCAGCUCCAAUAGCGUAUACUAAAGUUGUUGCAGUUAAAAAGCUCGUAGUUGGAUUUCUGCGGGGACGGAGCGGCCGGACGCAACUUGCGUCUCGAGCUAGCGCUUUCCCCACAUCCUGCCGCGAACCGUGCUACCAUUAGCUUGGUGGCGCUGGGGAUCGGCUCGAUUACUUUGAGAAAAAUAGAGUGUUCAAAGCAGACCACACGCCUUGAAUAAGUUAGCAUGGAAUAAUGACUAAGGACUUCGGUUCUAUUUUGUUGGUGCUCGGGACUGAAGUAAUGAUUGAUAGGGACAGUUGGGGCGGUCUGUAUUCCAAAGCGAGAGGUGAAAUUCUUAGACCUUCGGAAGACAAACAGCUGCGAAAGCGUUCCGCAAGGAUGUUCCCUUUGAUCAAGAACGGAAGUUGGGGGAUCGAAGACGAUCAGAUACCGUCGUAGUCUCAACUAUAAACUAUACCAGCUAGGGAUCGGCCAACGUUUAACUUUAUCGACUUGGUCGGCACCUUAUGAGAAAUCAAAGCAUCUGGGUUCCGGGGGGAGUAUGGUCGCAAGGCUGAAACUUAAAGGAAUUGACGGAAGGGCACCACCAGGCGUGGAGCCUGUGGCUUAAUUUGACUCAACACGGGAAAACUUACCAGGUCCAGACAUAGGAAGGAUUGACAGAUUGAUAGCUCUUUCUUGAUUCUGUGGGUGGUGGUGCAUGGCCGUUUUUAGUCGGUGAAGUGAUUUGUCUGCUUAAUUGCGUUAACGGACGAGACCCCAGCCUGCUAAAUAGCGCGGCCGAGCUUUGCUCGGUGCGAGCUUCUUAGAGGGACCAUGAUGCGCGAUAGCACAAGGAAGUUUGGGGCAACAACAGGUCUGUGAUGCCCUUAGAUGUUCUGGGCCGCACACGGGCUACACUGGCGCCUGCAACGAGCAUAUCAGCUGGCCCGAGAGGGUCUUGGCUAAUCUUUGGAACCGGCGCCGUGCUUGGGAUUGACCAUUGCAAUUGUUGGUCAUGCAACGAGGAAUGCCUUGUAAGCGCGAGUCAUCAGCUCGCAUUGAAUACGUCCCUGCCCUUCGUACACACCGCCCGUCGCUCCUACCGAUGAAUGUUCCGAUGAAAUUUUCGGAGAGCGCCAGAGAACGGGGCUCUGCCUUGCAGAUCUGGAGGCUCAAAGUCACUUAAAUCUGAACAUUUCGAGGAAGGAGAAGUCGUAACAAGGUAGCCG